UACGUAGGGUCCGAGCGUUGUCCGGAAUUACUGGGCGUAAAGAGCUCGUAGGUGGUUUGUCGCGUUGUUCGUGAAAACUCACAGCUCAACUGUGGGCGUGCGGGCGAUACGGGCAGACUAGAGUACUGCAGGGGAGACUGGAAUUCCUGGUGUAGCGGUGGAAUGCGCAGAUAUCAGGAGGAACACCGGUGGCGAAGGCGGGUCUCUGGGCAGUAACUGACGCUGAGGAGCGAAAGCGUGGGGAGCGAACCGG
This 253-nucleotide ribosomal RNA is filed under the name uncultured bacterium. RNAcentral describes it as "partial 16S ribosomal RNA". It matches the Rfam family "Bacterial small subunit ribosomal RNA", at positions 524 to 776 of the family's 1533-position model. The record is from RNAcentral.